RNAcentral lists this long non-coding RNA (364 nucleotides) under Citrus x clementina. Its description in RNAcentral is "Citrus clementina (C. clementina) long non-coding RNA (CCLE_LNC001275)". Lineage: Eukaryota; Viridiplantae; Streptophyta; Magnoliopsida; Sapindales; Rutaceae. The record is from RNAcentral.
CCAGUCUCACCAUCAUCAUCCCCAUCUUCCUCCCCUUGUUCAUGACCAUCAAUCUCACCUUCUGUGCUGGUCAACCUCCCCGUACUCUCUGGCUCCCCAAACUCCCCAUCUCUAUCCUCAUUAUCAACCUCUUCUUCGUCCUCAUCGUCAUCAUCAUCGCCAUCAUCAUCCUCGUCCUCAACCCCAUCCUCCUCAUCAUCGCUGUCCCCACCAACCCCAUGAACUUCCACCACAUCCUCUUCCUCAUAAACAUCAUCCUCAUCAUCAUCCUCGUCAUCAUCUUCUACCGCAUACCCAUUGCUCUGAUGGCCAUUUAUCCCCUCGGCAGCGGGUCCUGCUGCUCCAGCAGCUGUCUCCACCUCUU